RNAcentral lists this long non-coding RNA (382 nucleotides) under Linum usitatissimum (flax). RNAcentral's name for it is "long non-coding RNA (LUSI_LNC004797)". The record is from RNAcentral. Lineage: Eukaryota; Viridiplantae; Streptophyta; Magnoliopsida; Malpighiales; Linaceae.
GCAGUUCUGAUAUCAAGCUAGAUAUCUCAACCACAGCAGCAGCCGCCAUUGACAGCCAUCCAACAAGCAGUGGGAGACCCUUUUUCCCCACAACAUCACAGCUUUUCCACAGCAACAAUAAUAACAACUCUCCAUGGUUAACAAGGUCACCAAUAUCAUCAUCUGAUCAUCAUCACCAUCAUCAUCAGAAUCCCAACAUCCACAAGACCAUCGAUCAGAUUGUGAAGGAAGAAAACCUCACCACCAUGUUCUGUAGCAUUGAUGACCAGUCUGGGUUUUGGCCUUGGCUUGAGCACCAGCAGUUCAAUUGAUCAUCAUACUAUCAUGAAUGAAGAAGAAUCCUUUGCUCUCCCACAACCAUGCAAGAAGAAAAGUUUGGUAA